Molecule: ribosomal RNA, 592 nt
Filed under: uncultured methanogenic archaeon
Lineage: Archaea; Methanobacteriati; Methanobacteriota
Description: bacterial SSU rRNA
Rfam family: Archaeal small subunit ribosomal RNA
Source: RNAcentral
GGUGUAAACGCUGCAGACUGGUGUUGGAUCAUCGGGGCGUCCAGUGCCGGAGAGAAGUGUAAGUCUGCUACUGGGAGUACGUCCGCAAGGAUGAAACUUAAAGGAAUGGCGGGGAGCACCGCAAACGGGAGGAGCGUGCGGUUUAAUUGGAUUCAACACCGGGAAACUCACCAGCGGCGACUGUUACAUGAAAGUCAGGCCGAUGACCUUACUAGAUUUUCAGAGAGGUGGUGCAUGGCCGUCGUCAGUUCGUACCGUAAGGCGUUCUCUUAAGUGAGAUAACGAACGAGACCCUCAUCUAUAAUUGCUACUUCACCCUCCGGGGUGGAGGCACAUUAUCGAGACCGCUGGCGCUAAGUCGGGGGGAAGGAGAGGUCAACGGUAGGUCAGUAUGCCCCGAAUCUCUUGGGCUACACGCGCGCUACAAAGGGCGGGACAAUGGGCUACGACGCCGAAAGGCGAAGUCAAUCUCGAAACCCGUCCGUAGUUCGGAUUGAGGCUUGUAACUCAGCCUCAUGAAGCUGGAUUCCGUAGUAAUCGCGAAUCAAAAACUCGCGGAGAAUAUGCCCCUGCUCCUGCACACACCGUAAUC